GCACUUGAGGCAGAGGUGAAGAAAAAGAAUCAAACAUGUCAGACUUUGGAGAAUGAGCUUCAAGAUUUCCUCCAGGAAAACAAGCACUUGAACCUCCAGUUGUUGAAAAAUAGCCACAAGGCCCCUGAGUAUGAGAAGGUGAAGUCUGAGUAUGCCCAGCUCAAAGAGGCCCUUGGUGCUGUGACGCAGGAGAGAGAUUUAGCCCUGUGGGAGAGGAACCAGCUCCAAGGCAAACUGGAGAACCUAGAGCAGGUGCUCAAGUUUCGUGUUGGGAGUUCUGACCAGGAGCUGUGAAAGAGUAGAAGCUUGGAGCAGUCUUCCCCAUUUUUCUUUCCUAUUCCGUCCUUUGAUGUUCACCUACCC
RNAcentral lists this long non-coding RNA (363 nucleotides) under Echeneis naucrates (live sharksucker). RNAcentral's name for it is "lncRNA (ENSENLG00000019285.1)". The record is from RNAcentral. Lineage: Eukaryota; Metazoa; Chordata; Actinopteri; Carangiformes; Echeneidae.